Molecule: ribosomal RNA, 393 nt
Filed under: uncultured bacterium
Lineage: Bacteria
Description: partial 16S ribosomal RNA
Rfam family: Bacterial small subunit ribosomal RNA
Source: RNAcentral
AUACGGAGGAUGCGAGCGUUAUCCGGAUUUAUUGGGUUUAAAGGGUGCGUAGGCGGGCUGGUAAGUCAGCGGUGAAACGCAGGUGCUCAACACCUGACCUGCCGUUGAAACUGCCGGUCUUGAAUGCGGAUGCUGUGGGAGGAAUGUGUGGUGUAGCGGUGAAAUGCAUAGAUAUCACACAGAACACCGAUUGCGAAGGCAUCUCACAAAUCCGUGAUUGACGCUGAGGCACGAAAGUGCGGGGAUCGAACAGGAUUAGAUACCCUGGUAGUCCGCACUGUAAACGAUGAUGACUCGCUGUCGGCGAUAGACAGUCGGUGGCCAAGCGAAAGCGAUAAGUCAUCCACCUGGGGAGUACGACCGCAAGGUUGAAACUUAAAGGAAUUGACGGGG